Molecule: long non-coding RNA, 1073 nt
Filed under: Anas platyrhynchos platyrhynchos (common mallard)
Lineage: Eukaryota; Metazoa; Chordata; Aves; Anseriformes; Anatidae
Description: lncRNA (ENSAPLG00000022586.1)
Source: RNAcentral
GCAGAUGAAUGGUCUCUCUGGCUACCUUUAGACUUUCUUAUCAGCUUGCAGCUGAGCCCGUGCUUUCCCCACACCCCACUUCGUAAUUUCUGCAUGUUUGGUUGUUCAUUGCAGUGUGUUUGGAAGCAGUUAAACCUGUGGUGCUGUGAAGAAUCUGGCCAGCAUACAGGUUCCCAGCCCUGAAAGUGAUACAGGUGUCAGCACAACCCAGCAGGCUUGACCCAGCUGAUCCACACCUUCCAAAUGUGCCUUUAGAGGCAACUAGAAACACCUGCCCUGCUUAUGAGAUGUUAAAAGUGUAAGGGUUCUCACUAAGGUAGUGCUCUAAGAUUUAGGUAAGGUGACUGUGACUGUCUCUGUUAUGAGGAGCUAGGCAGGCUGGUGCUCUGGUCUUGCUUGUGAUGCCAUAUGCAGCAGAAAUCAGAGCUGUCUUCUGGCAAAAAGGCUCAAAGGUCCCGCUGAAGGAGCAGAAAACAAGCUGGGAUUGUUCCACCUGCAUAGCUGGCCUUCAGCUUUCAUGUAGCCACACACUCUCUGCAAUACCAGGGGGACCCACCUGUGCCUCCAGCGCUGCCAUGUCUUGGGACAGAAAUGAAGCGCCUUGCUCAGCCACCAGUGUGGUGUUCAAGCUGGAGGACAAUGCACAGUACGAGUUCCUCGUUGUGUGUCCCACUGCCAGAACGGUGCAGAGACCCACAGGGGAUGCCCUGAAUGCAGCUUAGGAAGAUGUGGGGUCCUGUGGUGAGAGGCAUGUCCCAUGUGUUGGGGUGUGUGACCGGGUGUGGAGCUGAAGCUGGCCCUGACCCUCCAUCGUGGUGGAACUGGGAGCAGGCUCCUUGCUGCUUGGAGGAGGGACAGAGGGAACCCAGAGCUCAGCACUGCCUCAGAGAUUGUUGCCAAGAGGCUAAUCGUCUCCUUGCGGAGGCACUAGUGGAAGUGAUUGAGACGAAGGGGUGUCACAUCAUCUUGAUGCUGAAGAGCAUUUGUGGAAGAGUCUUUCAUCCAUUAUUUUGCAAAUAUGUAGCCACCCUGCAUUCCAGAGAAACCACAGAUACUUCGAUACAGGGUGUAAU